Molecule: ribosomal RNA, 300 nt
Filed under: uncultured bacterium
Lineage: Bacteria
Description: bacterial SSU rRNA
Rfam family: Bacterial small subunit ribosomal RNA
Source: RNAcentral
GGAUUAGAUACCCUGGUAGUCCUAGCUGUAAACGAUGGAUACUAGACGUAGGAACUGGAUUGACGGUUUCUGUGUCGCAGCUAACGCGUUAAGUAUCCCGCCUGGGGAGUACGGUCGCAAGACUAAAACUCAAAGGAAUUGACGGGACCCCGCACAAGCGGUGGAGCAUGUGGUUUAAUUCGAAGCAACGCGCAGAACCUUACCAGUCCUUGACAUGGAGAGUUUGGUUUCCGGAGACGGAUUCCUUCAGUUCGGCUGGCUCUCACACAGGUGCUGCAUGGCUGUCGUCAGCUCGUGCCG